UACUCUUUGAAUUGCCGGUCAGCUGAAAUACAUUCACGCUGCUGGUGCUCCUUUCUUUUAGGAGAAAGGCGAGUUCCGAUUUGGUAGGUGACCUUUGCCGGUUGCAUGCCUUCGUUGCCCGCUAUGCAUCAGGCUAGCGAUGUGCAGGACGCCUUCUGGCUUUCGACCUGAGGUCAGGCAAGAACACCCGCUGAACUUAA
This 200-nucleotide unclassified non-coding RNA is filed under the name soil metagenome. RNAcentral's name for it is "partial contains internal transcribed spacer 2 and large subunit ribosomal RNA". The record is from RNAcentral.